GAUGAACGCUAGCGGCAGGCUUAAUACAUGCAAGUCGAGGGGCAGCAUGGUGUAGCAAUACACUGAUGGCGACCGGCAAACGGGUGCGGAACACGUACAGAACCUUCCUUCGAGCGGGGAAUAGCCCAGAGAAAUUUGGAUUAAUACCCCAUAGUACAUUGAGGCGGCAUCGUUUUAAUGUUAAAGAUUUAUCACUUGAAGAUGGCUGUGCGGCUGAUUAGGUAGUUGGCGGGGUAACGGCCCACAAGCCUGCGAUCAGUAACUGGUGUGAGAGCACGACCAGUCACACGGGCAACUGAGACACGGGCCCGACUCC
RNAcentral lists this ribosomal RNA (316 nucleotides) under uncultured bacterium. Its description in RNAcentral is "bacterial SSU rRNA". It matches the Rfam family "Bacterial small subunit ribosomal RNA", at positions 28 to 339 of the family's 1533-position model. The record is from RNAcentral.